GACGAACGCUGGCGGCGUGCUUAAAACAUGCAAGUCGAACGGACUUCUCAUGAAGCUUGCGAUUGAGAAGUUAGUGGCGGACGGGUGGGUAACGCGUGGGCAACCUGCCCCUGAGCCCGGGAUAACAGUUCGAAAGGACUGCUAAGACCGGAUAUACUUGCGGUGAAGCAUUCACUGCAAGGAAAGGGAACGCUCAGGGAUGGGCCCGCGUCCCAUUAGCUAGUUGGUGAGGUAACGGCCCACCAAGGCGAAGACGGGUAGCCGGUCUGAGAGGAUGGCCGGCCACACUGGAACUGAGACACGGUCCAGACUCCUACGGGAGGCAGCAGUGGGGAAUAUUGGGCAAUGGGGGAGACCCUGACCCAGCGACGCCGCGUGAGGGAUGAAGGUUUUCGGAUCGUAAACCUCUGUUGUACGGGAAGAAGGACUUGACGGUACCGUACGAGGAAGCCCCGGCAAACUACGUG
This 467-nucleotide ribosomal RNA is filed under the name uncultured bacterium. RNAcentral's name for it is "bacterial SSU rRNA". It matches the Rfam family "Bacterial small subunit ribosomal RNA", at positions 28 to 507 of the family's 1533-position model. The record is from RNAcentral.